AUAUGCAAUAUUUUGGCAAACAAAACAUUUGAGAAGAAUUUGGAAUCAAGUUUCCUUUGAUGUGUCCACUGCAGAAUUCCCCUCUAUAAAUUCUUCAAUUACAUGUGAGAGUAAUCAAACUUUCAGUAAUCCUUCCCAUGGUUUCCCAAACUUCUCUUCUCUUCUCUUCAUAACUCUGAUAAGCACUCUUCUGGUUAGCUGCAAUGCAGCAUCCGAUGCCAAUGAAAAGGUAUGAAAUUUGUGUUUAUAAUGAAACAUCUGAGUGUUUUAAUCCAUGUUCAGAUUUCUUUUCUUCUUGUAAAUUUCGACAUGCUGAUGCAGGUAUUCAUUGUAUACAUGGCAGCUUACUUGUUGCAAGUGAAAUUUGAGAAGGCUUGGCAACUGCCUUUCCAUUUGCUUGGAGGAGGACCAAACCCUUCAUCACUGAAACUCUCCGAUUCAGGCCAAAUUCUGGUGUCUAACAUUCCAAAAAUAACGUCGCUCUCAAUUUUUGUUCUUUCAACGUCUUCAAGGAAUCCCAUGAAGUCCCAUGAUCUUGUUGUGUGGAGCUGCUUUUUGGUGUUAGGGAAUACAGACACUACUGUGUCCAUGCCUAAGUACGUAUUAAAUAUAUGUACAUUAGAUUAGAAGCAAGGGAAAUUGGACUCACGUGUGCUGCAAUUUACAUUUUAAUUGAUUCAUAUUUGACAUACUAGCAAUUGUCUCUUUCUCUUCCUCAGUCAUCUUGGCAACAAAGUCAUUGAAGCUUUUGCGAUACAUAUAUUUAAUACGUACUUAGGCAUGGACACAGUAGUGUCUAUAUUCCCUAACACCAAAAAGCAGCUCCACACAACGAGAUCAUGAGACUUCAUGGGAUUCACUGAAGACAUUGAAAGAACAAAAGUUGAGAGCGACAUUAUUGUGGAAUGUUAGACACUGGGAUUUGGCCUAAAUCAGAGAGUUUCAGUGAUGAAGGGUGGUCCUCCUCCAAGCAAAUGGAAAGGCAGUUGCCAAGCCUCCUCAACAUGUUUUAAAAAUGGGGGUAAAAUAUUUAAUCUCAUUUUUACAGCAUUAUUUGUUUUGCUUAUUUAAAAAUGCAAUGGUUAAAUAUGUCUUUGUACUCAGUAAAAUACAAUGAUAAAAUUUUAUUAAUCAAUGUCACAAUAUAUAAUAAAUAAUAUUACUCUUAAAAAUGUGACGAGUUUCAAAAUAGAACAACAAUCAAUCACGGCUGCUCCACGUUUUUGCCAUGGGGAAGUAAAAGGUCUCCGCCAACUACGUAUCAAAGUUGAUGUAAAGACAAAGAGUGUAACACGUGCCUACAAAAAAGUCUUAUUGUACCAAUGAGAAAAAACAAUUUGGACCAAGUAUUUUUGUGCUCCAUAUGAUAAUUCGGCAUAAUUUAUACAUAAUUGAAAAAGAUCUUUAAAUUGACACAAUUCUUUUUUAGAGCAUUUGACGAAAGUUUUCAUGAUUAUGUUUUGUAAUUUUAUGUGAAUGUAAAAGGAAAAAACUCACAUUAUUUUUGAAGUCAAAUCAACGUACUCCAAUUUUAAAUAAAUGAAGAAGUGCCACCAUAACACGCUAGGCCUAUUGAUAAAUAUAUCUUUAACAAUUAUCCUUUCAUCUAGUAGUUUAUUGUCUCGAGAUAAGCUGCAAAAUGCACUUUAGCCCCUUUUACUCUCCUUGUAAACUACUAAUAUUUUCACGUACAACAUAACAGCAGAUCAUUGGACAAUAGUCCUACGAAUAAUUGGUUAACUAAGAUUGUGAAGAGGUAGUGCCAAAACAUAUUAAAACUGUAAUUUGACACUUACAAGUAGAGUUUACGAAAGCCGGUUGCUAUUUAAAAGGGAUGAUAACAUAUUUGGUCCCCCAAACUUUCAAAAACUUGUAGAUAUAUCUCUAACCUUUAAAAAUAGCACCUCACAUGCCGACGUUUGAAAAAUUAUGCAUGACUCGUCCCUGUUGAUAGAAUCCAUACAAUUUGACAUUUUAAGAUAAUUUAACUGACAAAAUUGUCCUCCCAUUUAGAUGAACCCAAAAAAUAAUAAUAAUAAUAAUAAUAAUAAUAAUAAUAAUAAUAAUAAUAAUAAUAAUAAUAAUAAUAAUAAUAAUAAUAAUAAUAAUAACAUUCAAAAUGAAAAUCUAAAGGAAAAAUUGCAAUGUAUGUCCAAAACAUUUUCAAAAAUCCAAAUAAAUUUCACUAUAAACAAUUAAAAGUAGAUUUACAACAAAAGAAAAAUAAAAGAAUUUAAAAAAUAAAAAAGAAAUAGUUUCUUCAACCUAGUGCCACCACCACCCACUAAAAAAUGAAAAAUCAUUUAAAGUAAAAGAAUAAUUAAACAAAUGAAAAUGUCAAUCUUGCCCCAAACCCACCCAUCUCCACACCGUCCCCGCCAUCCAACUAAACCAAAUUCCCAUCACCAAUCAACCAUUGGUCAUUAUUGGUAUUCGAACUCACAAUCACCUAGAAUCUACUAUAAUUUAAGAAGGAGAGCUUAUAAAAGAUGUUAACUAUCUCAAAGAGAAUAGACUAUGAAAAUCGUCAUAUAAUCUCGGCCCAUUAUCGUUGUCAUCAAUUAACAUCAUCAUUGGAAUCAUGAACACAUCUCACAAAUGAUGUAGUGAUCACUUAGAUGAUCACACUUCAAAGCAACAAGUGGUAUUUUGGACGUCAUCACUUCAUGUCCCACCAAUUAGAAAUAAGCAAUAAUUACCUAGAUGACACGUAAUCAUAACCUAAACCAAAAUUACGACCUAGAUAGUAUGAUGACAUACAUUGCCAAUCUCUAUAACCAAUAAACCUCAAAGAAUAUUUCUUAGUGUACCGACUACUCACAACAAGGGAGGGAUGGGUAUUUUUGGGUAAUUUUUAUACAUGCGGGACCCACCUGGUGUGAAUAGUCAAUAAGGGGUCUAUGAACCCCUAAUUGUACACCAGGAGUAAUUCAACCUCAAAUGUGGAUGGUGACACGCACUUUCAGGUCAACCAAAUUAUUCGUUGUAAAUGCCUUUAAAUGGGACAAAUGGUAUCCUCCAAAAGGCCGAGCUCAUUGAGUCUCUCUUUUCUACUUCCAAAUUCAAUCAAUCAAAAUUAGCAUUUUUAUUUUAAUAAAAUCCAACAAUUACUCUACAGAUAUCAUAUUUAGUUGAUCAAAAUUUGUCAUCUCAUUUUUAGUUGUCAAUAGUCACCUCUUUAUACCUCUCCAAGAAGCCAUUACCUCCCGCCAUGAACACCACUACAACUCGCGAUUUGAAGACUUUAAAUCUAAUGUCAAUUUCCUCUCCCAAGUUUACCAUUACUGUAAAAUCCAUCUAUCCUCGACCACACUUUUCAGCCCUCGUUUGUGGCAAUAAAUAUACGGAUAAGAAGUUCUCUCAAAAUAACUUUUUUAUUCUCAAUUCAAACUUUAAAACAAAAGCUUCUAGACAGUUUAUGUUAUAUCCUUAAAGUUUUACUUCGAAAUGUUGUCUGCUUUCGAAAAAUUAAACAGUAAAACAUCUAACAAACUGAUUCUUCCUUUUGUUGAGAGGUCGUAUUUGAACCGUUCGGAGAAGAAAUUGCUGAAAUAUUUUAUUCUUGAAGAUCCAAAACUAAGGAGAUGGUGAAGAUUAAAAUUAGAUUUUGUAUAGAUUUCGAUAGAAGUUGAUGAAAUGUAUGGUUGAAAAGUUGUGGAACCCAUAAAAUAUAUGGUUGAAAUGAAAUGUUGACUUUGACUUAAAUUAAAAUUAAAAUUUUAAUUGGUACCAAACUGGGGCUAAAUCUCAAUGUGAUUAUAGGUUGGGCAUAAUUGUUUUAUGGAAUAGUGGCAAUUGAUUUUUUAUGUGAUUAUGCAGGGUGUGAUGUUUUAUGGAAUGGUAGCAAUUGAUUGUUUUUUGUUUCCUUUUUUUCUUUUUCUUUUUUUGAUGGCAACGAGCAAUGUUUCGGAUGUGACACGAGGCAAUGCUAGUUUUUAGUGCAACAUGCGGUGAUGGUGAUUUCGGUUGUGGAUUUCGGGGUAGUUUUAGAGUGGUGGGAUGGAUGUUGGAGAUGAUAAAGAAUACUUAUUCUCAAAUUAACAUAAUUGUAAAAACUCAUUUGUUCAUUGCAUUUUUAAUAAGCAAAAUAGACAAUACUGUAAAAAUGGAUUAAAUAUUUGAAUCUCAU
RNAcentral lists this long non-coding RNA (4129 nucleotides) under Olea europaea subsp. europaea. Lineage: Eukaryota; Viridiplantae; Streptophyta; Magnoliopsida; Lamiales; Oleaceae. The record is from RNAcentral.